This 253-nucleotide ribosomal RNA is filed under the name uncultured bacterium. RNAcentral's name for it is "partial 16S ribosomal RNA". It matches the Rfam family "Bacterial small subunit ribosomal RNA", at positions 524 to 776 of the family's 1533-position model. The record is from RNAcentral.
UACAGAGGGUGCGAGCGUUAAUCGGAAUUACUGGGCGUAAAGCGCGCGUAGGCGGCUUUGCAAGUCGGGUGUGAAAUCCCCAGGCUUAACCUGGGAACUGCAUUCGAGACUGCAUUGCUAGAGUAUGGGAGAGGGAUGCGGAAUUCCAGGUGUAGCGGUGAAAUGCGUAGAUAUCUGGAGGAACAUCGGUGGCGAAGGCGGCAUCCUGGACCGAUAUUGACGCUGAGGCGCGAAAGCCAGGGGAGCAAACGGG